RNAcentral lists this ribosomal RNA (479 nucleotides) under Blastocystis sp. RNAcentral describes it as "SSU rRNA". It matches the Rfam family "Eukaryotic small subunit ribosomal RNA", at positions 460 to 953 of the family's 1831-position model. Lineage: Eukaryota; Bigyra; Opalinata; Blastocystidae. The record is from RNAcentral.
GGAGGUAGUGACAAUAAAUCACAAUGCGGGACUAUUUAGUUUUGCAAUUGGAUUGAGAACAAUGUACAAGAGUUAUCGAUAAACAAUUGGAGGGCAAGUCUGGUGCCAGCAGCCGCGGUAAUUCCAGCUCCAAUAGCGUAUAUUAACGUUGUUGCAGUUAAAAAGCUCGUAGUUGAAGUGUGGGGUGAAAGGUUUGUUUUGCUUUUGCAAGAUGUUCUGCUCACCCCCUCUCCAAUGUGUUAUUAUGGGUAUUAAUUUACUUGUACUAGCUAUUGGUCAUUUACUGUGAGAAAAUUAGAGUGUUCAAAGCAGGCAUUUGCUUGAAUAUAUUAGCAUGGAAUAAUAGUAAAAGGCUUUUAUGGUCGAUUUAAUUGGUUUGUUCAUGAAAGCAAGAUUAACAGGGACAGUUGGGGGUAUUCAUAUUCAAUAGUUAGAGGUGAAAUUCUCGGAUUUAUGGAAGAUGAACAAGUGCGAAAGCA